AGUGAACGCUGGCGGUAGGCCUAACACAUGCAAGUCGAACGGCAGCACAGUAAGAGCUUGCUCUUGCGGGUGGCGAGUGGCGGACGGGUUAGUAAUACAUCGGAAUCUACUUUUUCGUGGGGGAUAACGUAGGGAAACUUACGCUAAUACCGCAUACGACCUACGGGUGAAAGCAGGGGAUCUUCUGACCUUUCGCGAUUUGAUGAGCCGGUGUCGGAUUAGCUAGUUGGCGGGGGAAAGGCCCACCAAGGGGACGAUCCGUAGCUGGUCUGAGAGGAGGAUCAGCCACACUAGAAGUGAGACACGGUCCAGACUCCUACGGGAGGCAGCAGUGGGGAAUAUUGGACAAUGGGCGCAAGACUGAUCCAGCCAUACCGCGUGGGUGAAGAUGGACUUCGGGUUGUAAAGCACUUUUGUUGGGAAAGAAAAGCAGCAGGUUAAUUCCCCGAUGUUCUGACGGUACCCAAAGAAUAAGCACCGGCUAACUUCGUG
Molecule: ribosomal RNA, 492 nt
Filed under: uncultured bacterium
Lineage: Bacteria
Description: partial 16S ribosomal RNA
Rfam family: Bacterial small subunit ribosomal RNA
Source: RNAcentral